Syngnathoides biaculeatus (alligator pipefish) is the source of this 711-nucleotide long non-coding RNA. RefSeq lists it as uncharacterized. The transcript has 5 exons. The record is from RefSeq and is a predicted model, not a curated record. NCBI's taxonomy places the organism in Eukaryota, Metazoa, Chordata, Actinopteri, Syngnathiformes, Syngnathidae.
GGGAAGCCGUUUGCCGACCUGCACGUUGUCCACCAUCCACCCGCCGUCCACAAACAGCAGCACGUUGUAAAUUCUUUCCUUCACGUCUUCGGUCAGGACGUCCAAGCGGGCCGACCAGGCGGACAGUGCGGCCUGAUGUCGCGUUGGCUUCUUGGGGGCGGAACUGCUGUGGCUGAACCAGUCCGUGAAGGCUUCGUGGGCUUCCUGGAAGAACAUUUCCUCUUCAACAAUAACUAGGGAAACUUCAACUGAGUGUGACAAACUUUGCCGCGUAUCUGGAGAACUGUGGUGCGUGCGACAGAGCAAGGACUAAAUAUUACUCCAGAAAGUAUAAGUCUUGCAUCACGGCGGACACCGACCAGAAAUCUUCUCAUGAUUGCGUUGGACUGCUUCAGGGCUUCAGCCCGGUGGGCGGGGUCAAACAAAAGCCAGUCGAUCACGUCGAUCUUCUUCUGGUCGUCCUGUACGAGCGCAACACAGCUCCGGUCAGCCAAACAACGGAGAUCACCGCUCGCCGGCUUUCAGCAUCAAACGCGACCUUUGUGGUUCCGAUUUCCAAAGUCUGCCUGUGCUUCCUCUCUUACCGGCCUCCGUGGCGAGCUGCAAGCAGAGGGGACGCAGCUCCGGCUGGCUGACGGUCUCCAGGAAGGCGGCGUACUGAGCCGUGGCCAGGUCGGCCGGCAGCUGGCUGACGUAGCUCGCCACCAGGUC